UGGGGAAUUUUGGACAAUGGGCGAAAGCCUGAUCCAGCAAUGCCGCGUGUGUGAAGAAGGCCUUCGGGUUGUAAAGCACUUUUGUCCGGAAAGAAAUCCUUGGCUCUAAUACAGUCGGGGGAUGACGGUACCGGAAGAAUAAGCACCGGCUAACUACGUGCCAGCAGCCGCGGUAAUACGUAGGGUGCAAGCGUUAAUCGGAAUUACUGGGCGUAAAGCGUGCGCAGGCGGUUUGCUAAGACCGAUGUGAAAUCCCCGGGUCUCAACCUGGGAACUGCAUUGGUGACUGGCAGGCUAGAGUAUGGCAGAGGGGGGUAGAAUUCCACGUGUAGCAGUGAAAUGCGUAGAGAUGUGGAGGAAUACCGAUGGCGAAGGCAGCCCCCUGGGCCAAUACUGACGCUCAUGCACGAAAGCGUGGGGAGCAAACAGGAUUAGAUACCCUGGUAGUCCACGCCCUAAACGAUGUCAACUAGUUGUUGGGGAUUCAUUUCCUUAGUAACGUAGCUAACGCGUGAAGUUGACCGCCUGGGGAGUACGGUCG
This 541-nucleotide ribosomal RNA is filed under the name uncultured bacterium. RNAcentral's name for it is "partial 16S ribosomal RNA". It matches the Rfam family "Bacterial small subunit ribosomal RNA", at positions 355 to 888 of the family's 1533-position model. The record is from RNAcentral.